AAAUUAUUUAAUAAUCUACAUUGGUUACCAGAUAACUCUCUACUAAAUUUGAACACCUUAAUCUCCGGCGAUAAGUCUUUAAGUAAUGUUGAAAAUGAAAGAAUUGUAAAGAAUGUAUAUGAAUUUAUUAAAGAGUCUAAGAGGUUUCUAAUUGUGUAAUGUAGAACUAAUAAAGUGCAAAUACAUGCAUAUAGUGUAUUACCACUCACAUCAUCACACACCAUCUUUUCAGAGUUCAAAUAUUUUAUAUAUAUAUAUACAUAAUGUAUUGCUUGUAUGCAUGCUUUGUAAAUAUUCUACUGUUAUAAAUUGUUAUGGGAGAAG
RNAcentral lists this long non-coding RNA (324 nucleotides) under Mytilus galloprovincialis (Mediterranean mussel). Lineage: Eukaryota; Metazoa; Mollusca; Bivalvia; Mytilida; Mytilidae. The record is from RNAcentral.